UACGUAGGGUGCAAGCGUUAAUCGGAAUUACUGGGCGUAAAGCGUGCGCAGGCGGUUCUGAAAGUCAGCUGUGAAAGCCCCGGGCUUAACCUGGGAAUGGCGGUUGAAACUACAGGACUAGAAUCUGGCAGAGGGGGGUGGAAUUCCACGUGUAGCAGUGAAAUGCGUAGAUAUCAUGAGGAACACCAGAGGCGAAGGCGGCUACCUGGACAGUUACUGACGCUCAGGCACGAAAGCGUGGGGAGCAAAAGGG
This 253-nucleotide ribosomal RNA is filed under the name uncultured bacterium. RNAcentral describes it as "partial 16S ribosomal RNA". It matches the Rfam family "Bacterial small subunit ribosomal RNA", at positions 524 to 776 of the family's 1533-position model. The record is from RNAcentral.